GACGAACGCUGGCGGCGUGCUUAACACAUGCAAGUCGAACGGAAAGGCCCUGCUUGCAGGGUGCUCGAGUGGCGAACGGGUGAGUAACACGUGGGUGAUCUGCCCCUUACUUUGGGAUAAGCCUGGGAAACUGGGUCUAAUACUGGAUAGGACCAUGCUGUAGGGGGUGUGGUGGAAAGAUUAGUUUCGGUAAGGGAUGAGCUCGCGGCCUAUCAGCUUGUUGGUGGGGUAAUGGCCUACCAAGGCGUCGACGGGUAGCCGGCCUGAGAGGGUGGACGGCCACAUUGGGACUGAGAGACGGGCCAGACUCCUACGGGAGGCAGCAGUGGGGAAUAUUGCGCAAUGGGCGCAAGCCUGAUGCAGCGACGCCGCGUGGGCGAUGACGGCCUUCGGGUGGUAAACUCCUUUCAGCCAUGACGAAGCCCUUGUGGUGACGGUAGUUGUAGAAGAAGCACCGGCUAACUACGUG
This 469-nucleotide ribosomal RNA is filed under the name uncultured bacterium. RNAcentral's name for it is "partial 16S ribosomal RNA". It matches the Rfam family "Bacterial small subunit ribosomal RNA", at positions 28 to 507 of the family's 1533-position model. The record is from RNAcentral.